Molecule: long non-coding RNA, 282 nt
Organism: Homalodisca vitripennis (glassy-winged sharpshooter)
Lineage: Eukaryota; Metazoa; Arthropoda; Insecta; Hemiptera; Cicadellidae
Exons: 2
Source: RefSeq, a predicted model, not a curated record
CUCAUAACAACACCAAAUCAUGUGAUGCACAAUACAGAUAUAAAACAAUAGAAUGAUGCUCUGUGCAACAAAUUUAUAUUUCACUUUUAACUUUCUACAAAUUUGUUAUUAUCUUCAACCCUUAAAUAUUAUAUAGAUAAACUAUGAGACUAUGGAUGGCUAGUCCAACUUUGCAUCUUCCAAAAUCUGAAUUCCAAAACAGCUAAUUUUAUGGCACUGAUAGAUUUUAUAUGGUGAAGCAUUUUAACUGAUAUGUACAAAAUUAAACUGUGUCACUAUUUA